GACGAACCGUGUGAACGUUAUUCGGAAUCACUGGGCUUAAAGCGCGUGUAGGCGGGCGGGUACGUCGGCGACUGAAAGCCCCCGGCUCAACCGGGGAAGGGGUGCCGAAACGGCCGGCCUGGAGGGGCGUAGGGGGACCUGGAACUUCCGGUGGAGCGGUGAAAUGCGUUGAGAUCGGAAGGAACGCCCGUGGCGAAAGCGAGGUCCUGGACGCCAACUGACGCUGAGACGCGAAAGCCAGGGGAGCGAACGGG
This 254-nucleotide ribosomal RNA is filed under the name uncultured bacterium. Its description in RNAcentral is "partial 16S ribosomal RNA". It matches the Rfam family "Bacterial small subunit ribosomal RNA", at positions 524 to 776 of the family's 1533-position model. The record is from RNAcentral.